GUAGGUGGCAAGCGUUGUCCGGGAAUUAUUGGGGCGUAAAGCGCGCGCAGGCGGUUCGUUUAAGUCUGAUGUGAAAGCCCACGGGCUCAACCGUGGAGGGUCAUUGGAAACUGGAGAACUUGAGUACAGGAGAGGAAAGCGGAAUUCCACGUGUAGCGGUGAAAUGCGUAGAGAUGUGGAGGAACACCAGUGGCGAAGGCGGCUUUCUGGUCUGUAACUGACGCUGAGGCGCGAAAGCGUGGGGAGCAAACAGGAUUAGAUACCCUGGUAGUCCACGCCGUAAACGAUGAGUGCUAAGUGUUAGGGGGUUUCCGCCCCUUAGUGCUGCAGCUAACGCAUUAAGCACUCCGCCUGGGGAGUACGGCCGCAAAGGCUGA
Molecule: ribosomal RNA, 377 nt
Filed under: uncultured organism
Description: partial 16S ribosomal RNA
Rfam family: Bacterial small subunit ribosomal RNA
Source: RNAcentral